UGGGAAUUUUGGACAAUGGGCGAAAGCCUGAUCCAGCAAUGCCGCGUGUGUGAAGAAGGCCUUCGGGUUGUAAAGCACUUUUGUCCGGAAAGAAAUCCUUGGCUCUAAUACAGUCGGGGGAUGACGGUACCGGAAGAAUAAGCACCGGCUAACUACGUGCCAGCAGCCGCGGUAAUACGUAGGGUGCAAGCGUUAAUCGGAAUUACUGGGCGUAAAGCGUGCGCAGGCGGUUUGCUAAGACCGAUGUGAAAUCCCCGGGCUCAACCUGGGAACUGCAUUGGUGACUGGCAGGCUAGAGUAUGGCAGAGGGGGGUAGAAUUCCACGUGUAGCAGUGAAAUGCGUAGAGAUGUGGAGGAAUACCGAUGGCGAAGGCAGCCCCCUGGGCCAAAUACUGACGCUCAUGCACGAAAGCGUGGGGAGCAAACAGGAUUAGAUACCCUGGUAGUCCACGCCCUAAAACGAUGUCAACUAGUUGUUGGGGAUUCAUUUCCUUAGUAACGUAGCUAACGCGUGAAGUUGACCGCCUGGGGAGUACGGUCGCAAAGAUUAAAACUCAAAUGAAUUGACGGGGUCAUAGCUGUUU
Molecule: ribosomal RNA, 584 nt
Filed under: uncultured bacterium
Lineage: Bacteria
Description: partial 16S ribosomal RNA
Rfam family: Bacterial small subunit ribosomal RNA
Source: RNAcentral